RNAcentral lists this ribosomal RNA (340 nucleotides) under uncultured eukaryote. RNAcentral describes it as "partial 18S ribosomal RNA". It matches the Rfam family "Eukaryotic small subunit ribosomal RNA", at positions 592 to 976 of the family's 1831-position model. The record is from RNAcentral.
CAGUAGCGUAUAUUAAGGUUGUUGCAUUUAAAAAGCUCGUAGUUGGUGGUUCGCUUGGGGCCGUGGAUGCUAGCCGUCACGGCUCCCUGGCGGCACUCGGCGCUUGCGCCGUUUGCACUGUGAGAAAAUUAGAGUGAUCCAAACAGUCCUGGACUGACUGCUUCAGCACGGUAUGGGGUUUCGACGUCGCUGCUCUCUGCACUUCGCGUGUUUGAGGGUUGCGGGGUAAAGAUUAAUAGAGACAGACGAUGGGAUCCGUAUUGAGUUGCUAGAGGUGAUAUUCUUGGACCAACUCAAGACGUUCUGAAGCGAAAGCUCUUUUCACGCAUGUCCNUAUUAA